This 486-nucleotide ribosomal RNA is filed under the name uncultured bacterium. RNAcentral's name for it is "partial 16S ribosomal RNA". It matches the Rfam family "Bacterial small subunit ribosomal RNA", at positions 30 to 507 of the family's 1533-position model. The record is from RNAcentral.
AUUGAACGCUGGCGGCAUGCCUUACACAUGCAAGUCGAACGGUAGCACGGGUGCUUGCACCUGGUGGCGAGUGGCGAACGGGUGAGUAAUACAUCGGAACAUGUCCUGUAGUGGGGGAUAGCCCGGCGAAAGCCGGAUUAAUACCGCAUACGAUCUACGGAUGAAAGCGGGGGACCUUCGGGCCUCGCGCUAUAGGGCUGGCCGAUGGCUGAUUAGCUAGUUGGUGGGGUAAAGGCCUACCAAGGCGACGAUCAGUAGCUGGUCUGAGAGGACGACCAGCCACACUGGGACUGAGACACGGCCCAGACUCCUACGGGAGGCAGCAGUGGGGAAUUUUGGACAAUGGGCGAAAGCCUGAUCCAGCAAUGCCGCGUGUGUGAAGAAGGCCUUCGGGUUGUAAAGCACUUUUGUCCGGAAAGAAAUCCUUGGCCCUAAUACGGUCGGGGGAUGACGGUACCGGAAGAAUAAGCACCGGCUAACUACGUG